Non-coding RNA from Pelobates cultripes (western spadefoot toad), 237 nucleotides. The record is from the annotation of a GenBank genome assembly. Lineage: Eukaryota; Metazoa; Chordata; Amphibia; Anura; Pelobatidae.
CUGGUCAGAGUGCCCACUUAAAAAGCCUUCAAUGGGGAUGUGCGCAUCGGAACUGGACCAUGGAAGAAGUUCUUUUUUAGAGCAGGAGGAUGGCCAGUUGUGUGUAUUAUGUUUACCUGGGGAAUAGAAGGUCUAUCCACUAUGGGAAGAAGGCAGGUUGACAGAGGCAGCAUUAUGCUCUGAGUUAUGUUCUGCUGGGAAACAUUGGGUCCCGUCAUUCAUAUAGAUGUUGCUUUG